RNAcentral lists this ribosomal RNA (478 nucleotides) under uncultured bacterium. RNAcentral describes it as "partial 16S ribosomal RNA". It matches the Rfam family "Bacterial small subunit ribosomal RNA", at positions 28 to 523 of the family's 1533-position model. The record is from RNAcentral.
GACGAAUGCUGGCGGCGUGCUUAACACAUGCAAGUCGAACGGUAAGGCCCUUCGAGGUACACGAGUGGCGAACGGGUGAGUAACACGUGGGUGAUCUGCCCUGCACUUCGGGAUAAGCCUGGGAAACUGGGUCUAAUACCGGAUAGGACCACUGCCUGCAUGGGUGGGGGUGGAAAGCUUUUGCGGUGUGGGAUGGGCCCGCGGCCUAUCAGCUUGUUGGUGGGGUGAUGGCCUACCAAGGCGACGACGGGUAGCCGGCCUGAGAGGGUGACCGGCCACACUGGGACUGAGAUACGGCCCAGACUCCUGCGGGAGGCAGCAGUGGGGAAUAUUGCACAAUGGGCGCAAGCCUGAUGCAGCGACGCCGCGUGAGGGAUGACGGCCUUCGGGUUGUAAACCUCUUUCAGCACCGACGAAGCGCAAGUGACGGUAGGUGCAGAAGAAGGACCGGCCAACUACGUGCCAGCCGCCGCAGUAA